AUGCUUCAGAGUCUGAACUGUCCCCUAAUCAAUGAUCACUUGUGUUUCAGAAACACAGUUAUGCGUCCAUGUCGUAUCAUUGAUCAGAAUGCCCAGGUAGAUGAGGUCCGUCCCACCCAUGGGAUGCGGACCCAUAACAAAGUUCACGCUCUAAAACUAGUCCCUACUCUGGGAGUCCCUUCAGUCCCGACCAGUCUACCUCGAGCUCCGCAGACCAAUGUCAGCCGUCC
Molecule: long non-coding RNA, 230 nt
Filed under: Capsicum annuum
Lineage: Eukaryota; Viridiplantae; Streptophyta; Magnoliopsida; Solanales; Solanaceae
Description: long non-coding RNA (CANN_LNC007397)
Source: RNAcentral